Molecule: transfer RNA, 88 nt
Filed under: Candidatus Omnitrophota bacterium
Lineage: Bacteria; Pseudomonadati; Candidatus Omnitrophota
Description: Candidatus Omnitrophica bacterium tRNA-Leu
Rfam family: tRNA
About the family: Transfer RNA (tRNA) molecules are approximately 80 nucleotides in length. Their secondary structure includes four short double-helical elements and three loops (D, anti-codon, and T loops).
Source: RNAcentral
GCCCGGAUGGCGGAAUCGGCAGACGCAACGGACUUAAAAUCCGUCGGGGAUUUAAACCCCCGUGCCAGUUCAAGUCUGGCUCCGGGCA